This 71-nucleotide transfer RNA is filed under the name Marmosa demerarae (long-furred woolly mouse opossum). RNAcentral describes it as "Micoureus demerarae (long-furred woolly mouse opossum) tRNA-Leu". It matches the Rfam family "tRNA". From Rfam's summary of the family: Transfer RNA (tRNA) molecules are approximately 80 nucleotides in length. Their secondary structure includes four short double-helical elements and three loops (D, anti-codon, and T loops). The record is from RNAcentral. Lineage: Eukaryota; Metazoa; Chordata; Mammalia; Didelphimorphia; Didelphidae.
ACUUUUAAAGGAUAGUAGCUAUCCAUUGGUCUUAGGAACCAAAUAUUUUGGUGCAACUCCAAAUAAAAGUA